GGUUAAGCGACUAAGCGUACACGGUGGAUGCCCUGGCAGUCAGAGGCGAUGAAGGACGUGCUAAUCUGCGAAAAGCGUCGGUAAGGUGAUAUGAACCGUUACAGCCGGCGAUGUCCGAAUGGGGAAACCCAGUGUGAUUCGUCACUAUCGUUAACUGAAUACAUAGGUUAACGAGGCGAACCGGGGGAACUGAAACAUCUAAGUACCCCGAGGAAAAGAAAUCAACCGAGAUUCCCCCAGUAGCGGCGAGCGAACGGGGAGCAGCCCAGAGUCUGAAUCAGCUUGUGUGUUAGUGGAACGGUCUGGAAAGUCCGACGGUACAGGGUGAUAGUCCCGUACACCAAAAUGCACAGGCUGUGAACUCGAAGAGUAGGGCGGGACACGUGGUAUCCUGUCUGAAUAUGGGGGGACCAUCCUCCAAGGCUAAAUACUCCUGACUGACCGAUAGUGAACCAGUACCGUGAGGGAAAGGCGAAAAGAACCCCGGCGAGGGGAGUGAAAAAGAACCUGAAACCGUGUACGUACAAGCAGUGGGAGCACCUUCGGGUGUGACUGCGUACCUUUUGUAUAAUGGGUCAGCGACUUAUAUUCUGUAGCAAGGUUAACCGUAUAGGGGAGCCGCAGGGAAACCGAGUCUUAACUGGGCGUUAAGUUGCAGGGUAUAGACCCGAAACCCGGUGAUCUAGCCAUGGGCAGGUUGAAGGUUGGGUAACACUAACUGGAGGACCGAACCGACUAAUGUUGAAAAAUUAGCGGAUGACUUGUGGCUGGGGGUGAAAGGCCAAUCAAACCGGGAGAUAGCUGGUUCUCCCCGAAAGCUAUUUAGGUAGCGCCUCGUGAACUCAUCUUCGGGGGUAGAGCACUGUUUCGGCUAGGGGGUCAUCCCGACUUACCAACCCGAUGCAAACUACGAAUACCGAAGAAUGUUAUCACGGGAGACACACGGCGGGUGCUAACGUCCGUCGUGAAGAGGGAAACAACCCAGACCGCCAGCUAAGGUCCCAAAGUCACAGUUAAGUGGGAAACGAUGUGGGAAGGCACAGACAGCCAGGAUGUUGGCUUAGAAGCAGCCAUCAUUUAAAGAAAGCGUAAUAGCUCACUGGUCGAGUCGGCCUGCGCGGAAGAUGUAACGGGGCUAAACUGUGCACCGAAGCUGCGGCAGCGACACUAUGUGUUGUUGGGUAGGGGAGCGUUCUGUAAGCCUGCGAAGGUGGCCUGUGAGGGUUGCUGGAGGUAUCAGAAGUGCGAAUGCUGACAUAAGUAACGAUAAUGCGGGUGAAAAGCCCGCACGCCGGAAGACCAAGGGUUCCUGUCCAACGUUAAUCGGGGCAGGGUGAGUCGACCCCUAAGGCGAGGCCGAAAGGCGUAGUCGAUGGGAAACAGGUUAAUAUUCCUGUACUUGGUGUUACUGCGAAGGGGGGACGGAGAAGGCUAUGUUAGCCGGGCGACGGUUGUCCCGGUUUAAGCAUGUAGGCGGAGGUUCCAGGUAAAUCCGGUACCUUUUUAACGCUGAGGUGUGAUGACGAGGCACUACGGUGCUGAAGUAACAAAUGCCCUGCUUCCAGGAAAAGCCUCUAAGCAUCAGGUAACAUUGAAUCGUACCCCAAACCGACACAGGUGGUCAGGUAGAGAAUACCAAGGCGCUUGAGAGAACUCGGGUGAAGGAACUAGGCAAAAUGGUGCCGUAACUUCGGGAGAAGGCACGCUGAUAUGUAGGUGAAGCCCCUGCGGGUGGAGCUGAAAUCAGUCGAAGAUACCAGCUGGCUGCAACUGUUUAUUAAAAACACAGCACUGUGCAAACACGAAAGUGGACGUAUACGGUGUGACGCCUGCCCGGUGCCGGAAGGUUAAUUGAUGGGGUUAUCCGUAAGGAGAAGCUCUUGAUCGAAGCCCCGGUAAACGGCGGCCGUAACUAUAACGGUCCUAAGGUAGCGAAAUUCCUUGUCGGGUAAGUUCCGACCUGCACGAAUGGCGUAAUGAUGGCCAGGCUGUCUCCACCCGAGACUCAGUGAAAUUGAACUCGCUGUGAAGAUGCAGUGUACCCGCGGCAAGACGGAAAGACCCCGUGAACCUUUACUAUAGCUUGACACUGAACAUUGAGCCUUGAUGUGUAGGAUAGGUGGGAGGCUUUGAAGCGUGGACGCCAGUCUGCGUGGAGCCAACCUUGAAAUACCACCCUUUAAUGUUUGAUGUUCUAACGUUGGCCCCUGACCGGGGUUGCGGACAGUGUCUGGUGGGUAGUUUGACUGGGGCGGUCUCCUCCCAAAGAGUAACGGAGGAGCACGAAGGUUAGCUAAUCCUGGUCGGACAUCAGGAGGUUAGUGCAAUGGCAUAAGCUAGCUUGACUGCGAGCGUGACGGCGCGAGCAGGUGCGAAAGCAGGUCAUAGUGAUCCGGUGGUUCUGAAUGGAAGGGCCAUCGCUCAACGGAUAAAAGGUACUCCGGGGAUAACAGGCUGAUACCGCCCAAGAGUUCAUAUCGACGGCGGUGUUUGGCACCUCGAUGUCGGCUCAUCACAUCCUGGGGCUGAAGUAGGUCCCAAGGGUAUGGCUGUUCGCCAUUUAAAGUGGUACGCGAGCUGGGUUUAGAACGUCGUGAGACAGUUCGGUCCCUAUCUGCCGUGGGCGCUGGAGAAUUGAGGGGGGCUGCUCCUAGUACGAGAGGACCGGAGUGGACGCAUCACUGGUGUUCGGGUUGUCAUGCCAAUGGCAUUGCCCGGUAGCUAAAUGCGGAAGAGAUAAGUGCUGAAAGCAUCUAAGCACGAAACUUGCCCCGAGAUGAGUUCUCCCUGAGACUUUAAGUCUCCUGAAGGAACGUUAAAGACGAUGACGUUGAUAGGUCGGGUGUGUAAGCGUAGCGAUACGUUGAGCUAACCGAUACUAAUGAACCGUGAGGCUUAACCUU
RNAcentral lists this ribosomal RNA (2903 nucleotides) under Klebsiella aerogenes. RNAcentral's name for it is "23S ribosomal RNA". It matches the Rfam family "Bacterial large subunit ribosomal RNA". Lineage: Bacteria; Pseudomonadati; Pseudomonadota; Gammaproteobacteria; Enterobacterales; Enterobacteriaceae. The record is from RNAcentral.